This 69-nucleotide transfer RNA is filed under the name Paroedura gracilis. RNAcentral describes it as "tRNA-His". It matches the Rfam family "tRNA". Rfam says of the family: Transfer RNA (tRNA) molecules are approximately 80 nucleotides in length. The record is from RNAcentral. Lineage: Eukaryota; Metazoa; Chordata; Lepidosauria; Squamata; Gekkonidae. RNAcentral also lists the same sequence under 1 other name.
UCGACAUAGUUUAAUCUAAAACACUGGGCCGUGGCUCCAGAAACAAAAAAUCAAGUUUUUUUGUCGAUC